This 391-nucleotide unclassified non-coding RNA is filed under the name soil metagenome. RNAcentral describes it as "partial contains 5.8S ribosomal RNA, internal transcribed spacer 2, and large subunit ribosomal RNA". The stretch from base 1 to 122 matches the Rfam family "5.8S ribosomal RNA", at positions 35 to 154 of the family's 154-position model. The record is from RNAcentral.
GAUGAAGAACGUAGCGAAAUGCGAUACUUGGUGUGAAUUGCAGAAUCCCGUGAACCAUCGAGUCUUUGAACGCAAGUUGCGCCCGAAGCCAUUAGGCCGAGGGCACGCCUGCCUGGGCGUCACACGUCGUUGCCCCCCCAUCUACUCCUUCGGGAUUGCGGGGGGCGGAUGAUGGCUUCCCGUGCGCCUCGUCGCGCGGUUGGCAUAAAUGCCAAGUCCUCGGCGACGCACGCCACGACAAUCGGUGGUUGCGAAACCUCGGUUGCCCGUCGUGUGCGGUCGUCGCGCAUCGAGGGCUCGAAAAAAUUGCCGGGCUCCGGCUCGGCUUUCAACGCGACCCGAGGUCAGGCGGGGUUACCCGCUGAAUUUAAGCAUAUCAAUAAGCGGAGGA